Molecule: RNA transcript, 1595 nt
Organism: Trifolium pratense (red clover)
Lineage: Eukaryota; Viridiplantae; Streptophyta; Magnoliopsida; Fabales; Fabaceae
Gene name: probable ADP-ribosylation factor GTPase-activating protein AGD15
Exons: 10
Source: RefSeq, a predicted model, not a curated record
CUCAUAAUUCAUAAAUCAUUCUCCACACUCAAAAUCUCUUAAUCCCCAAAUUCUCUCUUUCUAUCUCUCUCACACUCCUUUGAAACACAACAUUCCUUUUUAACUCUAAAUUCAGAGAUAGUUUCUUGAUUAGGGUUCUUUGUUGUCACUAUCGCUACUUUAAUCUUUCAUUAUCACUAACUCUUGAAUUCAAUUUCAUCCUAAUUCAUAAUCGAUUCAUUCUACCCAAUUUGUUUUCUCUUUGCAACACUCUUUCCUUCUCCGUCAUUCAUCAUAACGCAACACGUUCGUGUAACUCGCUCACUCCACUCGCUCCGUAACUUGUUCUCGAUUUUUUCAUCAUGCCGAAGGCUAAACUUGAUAACAGUGCACCACAAUGGGCUAGUGUGAACUUAGGAAUUUUCAUUUGCAUGCAAUAUUCAGGGAUUCAACGGAGUCUUGGAGUGCAUAUAUCAAAGAUACGGAUAAUGUGAAGACAAAUAAGCCCUGGGAAGCUAAACUGCCACCAAAUUUUGACAGAAAUGGAUGUGGAAUCGAGAAGUUUAUCUGUGCCGAGCCACCACGAGGGGCUAGUGUGUGAACAUAGGAAUUUUCAUUUGCAUGCAAUGUUCAGGGAUUCACCGGAGUCUAGGAGUGCAUAUAUCAAAGUGUAACAGGAAGGAAACAGAUGAACCUUGCCGCUACGGAUCCUAACAAGCCGAAGAAGCUACCAAGGACAUAAUCCCAUGUUAAAUUCUGGGCAUCACGAUGGGCUAGUGUGAACUUAAGAAUUUUUAUUUGCAUGCAAUUUUCAGGGAUUCACCGGAGUCUAGGAGUGCAUAUAUCAAAGGAAGGAAACAGAUGAACCUUGCCGCUACGGAUCCUAACAAGCCGAAGAAGCUACCAAGGACAUAAUCCCAUGUUGAAUUCUGGGCAUCACGAUGGGCUAGUGUGAACUUAAGAAUUUUUAUUUGCAUGCAAUUUUCAGGGAUUCACCGGAGUCUAGGAGUGCAUAUAUCAAAGGUUUAUAUACAUUUUUGUUCCUUCUCAGUUUAGAAAUUUUAUAAUGGCUGAACCUUCUGAUUUUGUUACAAGGUGAGGUCCACAACUUUGGAUACAUGGUUGCCAGAACAAGUUUCUUUCAUGCAAUGGCACCACAAUGGGCUAGUGUGAACCUAGGAAUUUUCAUUUGCAUGCAAUUUUCAGGGAUUCACCGGAGUCUUGGUGUGCAUAUCUCAAAGGUGAGGUCCACAACUUUGGAUACAUGGUUGCCAGAACAAGUUUCUUUCAUGCAAUGGAAGAAACUAUGGAAUCUAUUUUUUAAUUACUUUCUUUGUGAAAUGUACUAUUGAGCAAAUUAUUAGAUACACUGAGCAACUCUUUCUUUUUCUCCUAAAGGACAUUACGUAAUUUCGAUUUGAUCGAUUAGGUCUUUCUUUACUCAUGGAAGAUAUCGGUGUUGCCAAAUAGCGGCUAUAGCACUAUAGCGUAGCAGAAUGUUAACAACUAUUGCUCCAUGAUAAGCGAUUCAGUACAAACUGUUUUCAAGUAACUGCUAUAGCUGCACUUAAAGCCUAUAACACUAGCAUAGUGAAAUUUUAACGAUCCGCUAUUUU